UACGAAGGGGGCUAGCGUUGUUCGGAAUUACUGGGCGUAAAGCGCAUGUAGGCGGUUCUUUAAGUCAGGGGUGAAAUCCCGGGGCUCAAACCCGGAAUUGCCUUUGAUACUGGAGAGCUAGAGUUUGGGAGAGGUGAGUGGAAUUCCGAGUGUAGAGGUGAAAUUCGUAGAUAUUCGGAGGAACACCAGUGGCGAAGGCGGCUCACUGGCCCGAAACUGACGCUGAGAUGCGAAAGCGUGGGGAGCAAACAGG
RNAcentral lists this ribosomal RNA (253 nucleotides) under uncultured bacterium. Its description in RNAcentral is "partial 16S ribosomal RNA". It matches the Rfam family "Bacterial small subunit ribosomal RNA", at positions 524 to 776 of the family's 1533-position model. The record is from RNAcentral.